RNAcentral lists this ribosomal RNA (529 nucleotides) under uncultured bacterium. Its description in RNAcentral is "bacterial SSU rRNA". It matches the Rfam family "Bacterial small subunit ribosomal RNA", at positions 979 to 1509 of the family's 1533-position model. The record is from RNAcentral.
CCUUGACAUCCAGAGAACUUAGCAGAGAUGCUUUGGUGCCUUCGGGAACUCUGAGACAGGUGCUGCAUGGCUGUCGUCAGCUCGUGUUGUGAAAUGUUGGGUUAAGUCCGCAACGAGCGCAACCCUUAUCCUUUGUUGCCAGCGGUUCGGCCGGGAACUCAAAGGAGACUGCCGGUGAUAAACCGGAGGAAGGUGGGGAUGACGUCAAGUCAUCAUGGCCCUUACGGCCGGGGCUACACACGUGCUACAAUGGCGCAUACAAAGAGAAGCGACCUCGCGAGAGCAAGCGGACCUCAUAAAGUGCGUCGUAGUCCGGAUUGGAGUCUGCAACUCGACUCCAUGAAGUCGGAAUCGCUAGUAAUCGUAGAUCAGAAUGCUACGGUGAAUACGUUCCCGGGCCUUGUACACACCGCCCGUCACACCAUGGGAGUGGGUUGCAAAAGAAGUAGGUAGCUUAACCUUCGGGAGGGCGCUUACCACUUUGUGAUUCAUGACUGGGGUGAAGUCGUAACAAGGUAGGCGUAGCGAG